RNAcentral lists this ribosomal RNA (522 nucleotides) under uncultured bacterium. RNAcentral describes it as "bacterial SSU rRNA". It matches the Rfam family "Bacterial small subunit ribosomal RNA", at positions 777 to 1297 of the family's 1533-position model. The record is from RNAcentral.
AAUAGAUACCCCGGUAGUCCACGCCGUAAACGAUGAGUGCUAAGUGUUAGGGGGUCUCCGCCCCUUAGUGCUGCAGCUAACGCAUUAAGCACUCCGCCUGGGGAGUACGGCCGCAAGGCUGAAACUCAAAGGAAUUGACGGGGGCCCGCACAAGCGGUGGAGCAUGUGGUUUAAUUCGAAGCAACGCGAAGAACCUUACCAGGUCUUGACAUCCUCUGACAACUCUAGAGAUAGAGCGUUCCCCUUCGGGGGACAGAGUGACAGGUGGUGCAUGGUUGUCGUCAGCUCGUGUCGUGAGAUGUUGGGUUAAGUCCCGCAACGAACGCAACCCUUGAUCUUAGUUGCCAGCAUUCAGUUGGGCACUCUAAGGUGACUGCCGGUGACAAACCGGAGGAAGGUGGGGAUGACGUCAAAUCAUCAUGCCCCUUAUGACCUGGGCUACACACGUGCUACAAUGGACGGUACAAAGAGUCGCAAGACCGCGAGGUGGAGCUAAUCUCAUAAAACCGUUCUCAGUUCGGA